UACGUAGGGUGCAAGCGUUAAUCGGAAUUACUGGGCGUAAAGCGUGCGCAGGCGGCUUUGCAAGACAGAUGUGAAAUCCCCGGGCUCAACCUGGGAACUGCAUUUGUGACUGCAUGGCUAGAGUGCGGCAGAGGGGGAUGGAAUUCCGCGUGUAGCAGUGAAAUGCGUAGAGAUCGGGAGGAACAUCUGUGGCGAAGGCGGCCACCUGGACCAGCACUGACACUGAGGCACGAAAGCGUGGGGAGCAAACAGG
This 253-nucleotide ribosomal RNA is filed under the name uncultured bacterium. RNAcentral describes it as "partial 16S ribosomal RNA". It matches the Rfam family "Bacterial small subunit ribosomal RNA", at positions 524 to 776 of the family's 1533-position model. The record is from RNAcentral.